AUUGAACGCUGGCGGCAUGCUUUACACAUGCAAGUCGAACGGCAGCGCGGGCUUCGGCCUUGCGGCGAGUGGCGAACGGGUGAGUAAUGCAUCGGAACGUGCCCAGUCGUGGGGGAUAGCCCGGCGAAAGCCGGAUUAAUACCGCAUACGACCUGAGGGUGAAAGCGGGGGACCGAAAGGCCUCGCGCUAUUGGAGCGGCCGAUGUCGGAUUAGCUAGUUGGUGGGGUAAAGGCUUACCAAGGCGACGAUCCGUAGCUGGUCUGAGAGGACGACCAGCCACACUGGGACUGAGACACGGCCCAGACUCCUACGGGAGGCAGCAGUGGGGAAUUUUGGACAAUGGGGGCAACCCUGAUCCAGCCAUGCCGCGUGCGGGAAGAAGGCCUUCGGGUUGUAAACCGCUUUUGUUCGGGAAGAAAUCCUCUGGGCUAAUACCCCGGGGGGAUGACGGUACCGGAAGAAUAAGCACCGGCUAACUACGUG
This 484-nucleotide ribosomal RNA is filed under the name uncultured bacterium. RNAcentral describes it as "partial 16S ribosomal RNA". It matches the Rfam family "Bacterial small subunit ribosomal RNA", at positions 28 to 507 of the family's 1533-position model. The record is from RNAcentral.